RNAcentral lists this ribosomal RNA (484 nucleotides) under uncultured bacterium. RNAcentral describes it as "partial 16S ribosomal RNA". It matches the Rfam family "Bacterial small subunit ribosomal RNA", at positions 29 to 523 of the family's 1533-position model. The record is from RNAcentral.
AAUGAACGUUGGCGGCGUGGAUUAGGCAUGCAAGUCGUGCGGAAGUGGCCCGCAAGGGUUACUUUAGCGGCGAAAGGGAGAGUAAUACGUAGGUGCCUACCCCUGGAACCGGGAUAGCUGCGGGAAACUGCAGGGAAUACCGGAUAACGUCUCCGGACCAAAGGUGGGAUUCCGUCCGGGGAGGGGCCUGCGUCCUAUUAGCUAGUUGGUGAGGUGAUGGCGCACCAAGGCAAAGAUGGGUACGGGGUAUGAGAGUAUGCCCCCGCUCACUGGGACUGAGACACUGCCCAGACACCUACGGGUGGCUGCAGUCGAGGAUCUUCGGCAAUGGGGGAAACCCUGACCGAGCGACGCCGCGUGUGGGAUGAAGGCCCUCGGGUUGUAAACCACUAUCAGAGGGGAUGAAAUGCUAUGGGGUUCUCUCCAUAGUUUGACAUAUCCUCAGAGGAAGGACGGGCUAAGUUCGUGCCAGCAGCCGCGGUAA